GCCUGCUUCGGCAGCGCACAUACUAAAAUUGGAACGAUACAGAGAUGAUUAACAUGGCCCCUGCACAAGGAGGACACACAAAUUCAUGACGGGUUCCAUGUUUUU
Zalophus californianus (California sea lion) is the source of this 105-nucleotide small nuclear RNA. NCBI's taxonomy places the organism in Eukaryota, Metazoa, Chordata, Mammalia, Carnivora, Otariidae. The record is from Ensembl.